AGCAAGCACGUAACGUAAUGCAGCUACGCUUGCAGUUCCUUCUGGCCGUGGUUAAAACGAAAUUUCCCGGAUAAAGCUAUCUUAGGCGUGUAUGUUGCUAGCUAGCUUGCCGUGAUUGACAUUACCGGAAACUUUCUGCAGAUCCACCACGGGAUCGAGAUCGUGCUAGCUCGAUAAAGCGUUGCGGCUUUUCAUCGACCUGCGCGCAGCACGCAAUGCGACGCACAGCGCGCAUGUAGUGUCUGGGAUGGGGAAAAAUACAUGGCCGAUCUCGAUUGGGCGAACCUUUUUCCAUCGCUGUGCAGCGAGAUCGCGAUCUUUUUCUGCUGGCGCUGACCCCCCCCCCCCCCCCCCCCCUUGUUGAUACGUCCACGGUCCGUCUCGUCGGAGUUUGGCACGAGUGACGCACGCACGCCCGCACGCCACAGGCCGGCCGGCGCUGUUUAUUCGCGAGGCCCCCCCGCGCCGGCUCAUUUCUUUUCUUUCUUUGGCGGCCAUGCCAACUGUCUUUUUUUGUUUUGUUUUUAGGAGUUUGGCUGGUGCAUGGGCUAUAGUAACUCCAGCUGCUGUCUGUGAUGGGCAGAGAGUAGCUUCUGUACUUUAGGUUUGAAUGUUUGAUCUCCUCCUUCCACAUCGGUUAAGGCGGUGUGAGCGCGCGGUAGCUGGUCGAUGCUCUGUUUCCGUCCUGUAAUAACUUCUGCUUAUCGUGCUUCCUUGUCCGUUCUAUCUGAAGACACUGCUACUGCUGCUACGGCGUCGGUGGGCCGGAAACCUCCAAACGACCAAGCCGGUCCGGGAAUCGACGGGAUUGAUUGCUUGAUUGAUUGAUGCCUACGUUAAUUCGUGCGUGGUCCACGAUCGACGACGCGGCCGAUGACGAACGACGGACUCGAAUCGCUCGGCUUCCCGGCGAUAACCCCCCACGGGCGACGGCGACGGGCCGUCUGUACUCUACGCCAAGAUACUCUCCGGAGCGCCGGGCCGAGGGGAAUUGGAAAGGCUAGCUAGAACUGGCGCGUCGUCGGUUGUCAGCGACCGUCGAGCUAGCCUCGUGUUUUGGGUUCGUUUUUCCCUUUGUCGUCCAUGUCCUACGUCGCCUCCAGAUCAAUCAAAAAAGGGUAUCAGAACGGGUAUCAAGCGGCGUCGGUCACGCACGCACGUAGUAGUACUACCGGUGAUGCCUAACAACCGACGGCGACGGCCCUCCUGCACUGGCCGCGACGGGUUCCGCAUCGGCCGUUUCAAUCGGCAUCUGCAGGCUUAGGGAUUCUAGAACAAACGCUAUUGAUAUUUUUUUUCCGCCUACGAAACACUAGUUACGACGCAAAACCUACAAUUACCCCCACGUACGAAUGCCCUCGCACACACGGUCCCCAGAGUACUCUGGACCUUGAGAUUUACAAAAUCACCACUUGUGCCUAGUGAUCGAUGGUAUAAGACACACAGAGCCGAGGGUUCGGUCCACCAACUAUCUAACCAGUGGUGGAUACAGGAUACACUCAAGAGCAGGGCCAAUUUAUCUAUAUAUAGAAGUUAAAAACAAAGAAAUUAGAGAAGAAACCCGGAACUAAGUUUGAAUUCCUUCAUAAUUUAGUCAAAAAUAAAAUCUCACGCUCUAGGCUGUGCGGCUUGGCUCCACCCCUGUUUCUAACCACCCAGCCACCGCUAAACCGUAAAACUAAAAUAAAAUAAAAUAAAAAUAAUCGUGCACAUAAACUCGAAUUAUUACGUGUCAACGUAUAAUCCAUAUUAAAAGCAACAAAUGAUGUGACGAACUACAUAAACAUAAACAAUUCAAACAUUACAUUAUUUGCAAAUAAUAAACCAAUAGCGAUCAAUUCAUUUUCGAUAAUCAUCUUCGCAUUAAGCAGCAUGAGUCAUGUUGAUACAUAAACAAUGCUGUGUUUGGUAGCACUGUAUUUUCUCUGUAUUUUAGCGAACUACGGUUUUUAUAAUUACCAGAGUUUUAAUUACUAUGAACUGUUUGGUUACUCCUAAAAACUGCGGUAUUAAUACCAUAGUAUCUGCAAAACCGUAGUAUUUUCUCUGAAUAAAAUAAAGAACCCCAGACCUCUUUAUUUUUUACCGAGCACGCGAGAAAAACGUCUCCGCCUAGCUAGCAGCGAACAUCGCUGCUGUUCUCAAGCCGCCGCCGCCUAUCGUCUCAAUCCCAGCGAUCUAUGAGCAGGGGGGCGGCGGGGCCGGGGAUGCAUGGUCGGAGGAAUUGGCGAUUGCUUUCCGUGGCUGGCCAGGUUGGAGACGUCGAACAACGAGCCGCGCCGAGGGACGGGCGCAACGCUGGUGGGGCGGGUUGGAGGCGGCCGGCGUGACGCGGGGCAGGGCGGGCGGGAGGCGGCGGACGCGAGCGGCGCACGAUGCGGGGCUGAUUGGAGGCGGCGAACGCGGAGCCAUGGUGAGGAGCUACUCCGUGGCGAGCACAUCCCUAGUUUGUGCCGCUGGCAACCAUUAGCAAGUUAAUUAGCGCAUCAUGCUCGUGGUGGAUCUGAUGGCCUCGUUCUUCCGUCUGCUCCUCCCCUUCAUGCUCGUGGAGCCGAUGGCAUCCUGAUCCGAACAGAGAGUGAACGGCCUUCUUUUCCAUGUGCCCAAGAUGCCCAUCCCCUGCUGUUACUCAAGCGCACGGGCGGAGGAAGAUUGGAAGAAGAAGAAGAAUAGGAGAAGCUGGGAUAAUAAGAAUACUGUAGUUUAAUACUUUGUUACCAAAUAGCUUGAAAGUAUUUUCCAUACUCCAAAAUAAUCAAGUUUGCCAAAACUGCAGUAUUUUGUAUGUAGAGUAAAAUAUACUGUAGUUUGUCAGUGCUUUAGUUUUUUAAAUACCUUGUUACCAAACAUAGCCUAACUUCUAUUAUGAUAUGCAAUAUUUUUUUCUCAUUUCUGGGCUGGCUUCAUGAAAAUUAAGAAUACAUUUUUAUAUUAUUUUUUUGUAAACACAGUAGAUAAUGAGAGAAAAACAUAAGAGGAUCAUAAUGCAUUUCUGUACAUGUUUACUAGGACUUGUAAUUUGACAUACACGAAAUACAUUUAUGGUGGCUUAAUUUUUUAGUUGAGUUCAUCAUGUUAUAGGUGUAUUGUAAACUGAAUACGUAGGUUACUUAACAUUCUUCAUUUUGGUUAGAGGUCCGUACAACUUUAUAUUGUUUCGCAUAGAGACAGCAGCGAGUUAUGUUAUUUGUGCGCUAAAAACAAUUACACUCUAUCUUGAGUUUUCAACUUCAAAACUACAUGUUUGAGUCUUCUCCUACUUGGGCAAAUUUCGCAUAACAAUUGCACCUAUUUGAUUCCUUCCGCAGAUAAUCCAAGUUACAAAUUGAAUGAUACACAUAAUUCUUACUAGUUAUGUUAAUUAUUAUUUUUCAGUUGAAGACUAUCAAACAUGGAAAUGAAAACUUUGCAUUAGUUGCACCAAAUCUAUUCUUAAUCAGUCUAAAAAGAAUCUCGUUGAACAGAAAAAAGACUCAUAAAGAAAUUACGAGGAGAAAGAAGAAAUCUGGAUUCACUUUCAUUCACACCCUUUACGACGCAUUGUGAUUAUGUUCAUCUCCAACUGAUUUAAGUUCGUGCCAAUCUCCAAUUCUAAAGACAUUAUCCAGUGUCCAAAUCGCUUGAAGGGAUGACACGGGCAAAGACGAGGGACGGUAGUUGGCAUAUUUCUACGUGACUUUUUAUGAAGUCUGACUAUUCGAAUAUUGAUGCAAUUUUCUCCACUUAAUAAAUUCAUGUCUCCUUUUGUUUCGCCAAUCCCCAGGUAAAAAAAUCGUACGUUGAUGUACUUAAAUGGAGUAUACUUUGGUUAUGCAACAUUUUUCAUAAAUUUUAAAGAAAAAAAUACAUUUUGCACCAAGGCCUUGAAUUCAUACAUACGACCCUGGUUCUAAGAAAAGCUGUGUGGUUCAGUGCAUUCAAAUAAUGGUCAUCGUUCUUCGAAUAAAGGACAUGCUUGUUAUUGUAGAUUCUUGUCCAAUAGGUAUACUUAUGAUUAAAUAAUUUUAUUUUGUUCUAAUUACUAAACAUGUUGUGUUGCAUUCUCAAGAAUUUUGUAAAUUGAAAUUAUCUUCAAAAAUAAUUUUUCCAUGUAUUAUUUGUUACAUGAAGGGGGAAAGAACCAUAAGGGUGUGUUUUCUCUGUACUGAAAGGGUAUGUUGCUUUUGAUGUCAUCAAUGUAUAUACUUACUUGCAAUAUAUGGCUGGGUGAAUUCUUGGUUUUCCAAUUAAUAUUAGGAGAUUAAUUGCAACAGCUGCUCUAGACUAUCUGAAAAUGAAGAAAUAUUGCUUGUUUUUAAAAUGUUUUACAGAGUAGCUAAAGACCCAUUUAAUAUGAUUUCCUCUACGAUGUUACUGGAUUAAAUAUUAGAUUGUUCUUUAUCUUUAGCAAUUCAAGGUCGCAAUCAAGAUGGAUGCUCAGUUUCAGCGGAUGGUGGCGGACGAGAUGAUACACAAACAUCUUGGUUCUAAGUUUUCUUGUAGGGCUGACAUUUCUUUGAUUUUUGUUUCUAUUUUGAGCUAAUAAGAAGUGAACCUCGAUGACUGUAUAAUGCUCAUUUCGACAAAAAAUUCUUUCGCCAAUCAUACAAGGUAAAAGAAAUGUCAAAAUAACAAAUUGAUGAUCGUAGAACAUGUGAUGAAUUGUUUUCUCACAUGCACAAUUUUUUUAUGCAGUUUACUAACGGUCCAAUUCAUUUUCUCCGAGCUAUUCAUAGUUGAAGUUACCCCUCCGCAUAGAUUCCACAAACACAAAGACUUCCAUUCCCGUGGGGAUUAUCAAGCGUUUAAGGUUUAUCUGGAGUUUUCUCAAUGCAUAAGUAGCAUAAACUGGAACAAAGAUUGUUUUAUUUUUUGAAGGUUUCAUCCAAACAUACAUACACCUAUGCAUCAUAGUAAGGUUGAAGUAAGUAACCUUAGUAACUUAAUGAAUUACAGGAUACUACUAUAAACAUGGAUCUUUUGAUUCAUCUUCUUCUGAGUAACAAACAUUGAUAUUUUGAUUAAUCUUCUACACCCAUAUGAUGCUACAUGGCACGGUAAGAAGAGAGCUUCAACUUGUUUCGUUCUUCUUUUAUAAGAUUACCAUUACCGUGAAGGAGUAAUUUUUUUUGUAGAGAGUAACCCCCUUAUAGUUGAUUUUUUCAUCUUCUAAAAACUCCGUAGAUACGACUUAGGCUCCAAUUGACAUUGUGUUGGAUUAUCAUAAUCCUGUUUUUUCACUUGCUUUUCACUAUUUUUUGUGUUUGGCUAACCAAUUUUAUUCUACUUUCGUGUGUAUUUUUUUCACAGCAGAUUUUAAAAUAAGCUCAGCGCAGCACAGUUCAGCAAUGUAAAACUGAUCCUAAGAAGAAAAUCUAUUGCAUCUGAUGUUUUCAAGUUGAUUCCAGCAGACGUGCAAAGUACAAGAAUCAGCUGCUGACUGUAGCUUUGUGCAUGUACGUACAAUUUAGCAGUUACUAGUACCUUCGUUCUGUUUAAUACGGCGGCAAGUAGUGCCGAAUUUCUCUUGGUAACUUCGAUUUCCAUGAAGGCAACUUAGGCAAGCUUCAUUUGUGCUUGUGUUGUGGUCUUGUUGCCGAUGAGGAGUUAAUUGGAGGAGCCUUCCGCCGGGAGCCAGGUACAGUGACCGCAUUAUCUCCUUUCGCUGCACCCUCAGAGUGUUUACUGUAUCUGUCAUGCUUUCUGACACCUGCAGAGAACACACUGCCGCCAUGGACACAGUAUGCCAUGUCAUCUUCGAACCAACCGUUAACAAAUAACUUGCAUCUUUCAAAAAAAAAACUUGCCGAGACAGCAAGGCGUCGCUGUGCUGAUCUAGUAAAGAUAUAGUCCUCCUUUUCAUACAAAUUGGCACGGUUUUGAACUAGCUCAAAUUUAAAGCCGCGCCAAUCUUUAUGGAAUGGAGGGAAUACCACGGAGUAGCAAAAUUUCAUGCGAUGUUUAUGCUCCAUGUAAUGCAAAGCAAAAUAUUUAACUUGUUUCUCUGCAACUUUGUUAAGUAUCAUUAGAUUACCACUAUACUAUUAGUAACUACAUACGAUUGUUGAGCAUUUAUGUGAUGUUGCUUGCCAGUUCAUUGAGCGGCUACGUUUUUGCCCCCUGUGCUCCAAUCCAGGCAGCAUGUCCGGACACACAGCAGUGCGGGGCAUUGAUUGACUGAACGGGUGCCAAUAACGUGGUCCUGAAACCCUGCAGUUAGAUUCUGCAUCCUCCUCGAGCACAAUCAAUGCACUUUCAGUAUACCCAAGACGAAUCCGAUUAGUAAAUUUUUCUGUCCGUCCCGUCGGCAUGAUUGUGGCAUGUUGACAAGUUCAGACGAGGCACGCUCUGAAGCACUGAAAAAACUCAAAAGGGUCACCACUUUGCAAGCAGCCUGAGCAUGGACAAUAACUACCCCAGCAUUUCAAAAAACGUUGCUAGUGAUUCCAUGGCAACUGAUUCAAUUUUUUUACUGAGUAUUUUUCUUAUCCCUCAAAAUGAACUGUUCUUCAUUUCCUCUUUUUUCAACUUCCAUGGUGACCGAUUCAACUGUUCUUCUUUUUUCAGUGUUGAUAAUGAACUUGUUUGAAUCUGUUUUAAGAGAAUUGCGCCCUCAAUUGUUGGGUGUUUGCCUAAGUUAUUGGCACUACUAGCAUAUUUUCCAUAGAUCAGUAGGGGUCUAGUCCUUUGUUUUCUGGGACAACAAUGUUCUUUGACCUGGAUUAUGUGUCUUGUCUGUUCUCCGGGACAACAUUGUUCUUUUUCAAGGAGGUCAAACAAGGCUAACCAUGUCAGUUUACGGCAGAAUCUAUCGUGUGCAUUUAAGGCCAAACCACCGGUUUACUACUUGUUAAAAAUGUCAUCUGCAGGCAGAACCGCACACUAGUGCUAAAGCUGAGUAUCUGCUGCAGUGUUCUUGGUCUUGGCAAUUGCACAGGUGUGAUGAAAGAACUUUUGACCAUUCUUUAAGCUAGUCAGACUGAAGACUGAAUUUUUUCUACUUUGCCAUGCUUACCGUGAGCUCUUCACGUAGGAUCACAUGCUGUAGCAGUUUUUCCAGAACCUGAUUUGUAGGCUAUUUGUUCAAUUAAGUGUUCCAGUGGGAAACAACAAUAUCGCAUCCUAACUAGUCUUCUGGGAGUCUAAACCCUAAAACAUUUAAGAUAAUUUAGUAUUCUCAAACAAUUGAGCUUCAUGUAUACUCCUCAGCAUAUAACACACAGAUUUGCGCCUUGUUUAAGUCCACAUUAUAGUGCUAACAGCUAUGGUAAGGCUUGGUAAUUUACUAAUUUUCUCGACAACCUGAAAACAAAUCCACACAAACUUCUUUUUUUCAGUCAAAGAACUAUCUUACAAAGACACUGCCAAUGACAAUGACGAUCGACUGCCCUGAGAUAGGGCAAUGCAACUACAAGAUGAUGAACAUGAGACCAGCAACACACAUACAACUCAAGAAUGCAGCACCGUGACACUGAAGGAUGGAGCAAGCGAAGACACCUAAAAAACACCCUAGAGAGAGCUAGAAAAUUGGCUUCGUCUCUGCAUGGAGUUCCAUGAACACCUGGCUGAUCACGCCUUGGCAACCUUCAUAUCGACGCUCAAGGCCUUCCUAUCCUCCAACGGUUUUGACACCGUUGUUCUCUGGACACCGCAAGGCUUUUGCUUUGCUUUGAUGGACUCCGUCAAGCUCAUGUAAUUCGGCCUUGCCCUGACGCUGCCAUCAGUCUUCUCUGGUGUCACCAAGGUGGAGAACGAUAUUGGAGUGGACGCAAAGCAAGAAGAUGACGACGCUGAGCUCUCGUCGUUGUGCAAUUCAGUGCUCAGAGACGAGAUAGACUGAGCUUUGAACCGAGGAUGGUGCGUCGCUCCCGGCGGUUUCGCGCUGACCCUUUUGCUGACAUUGUUCUUCCUCACCUUCACUGAAUUUGGUUCAGAGAAGUCCCCUAGGGCACCGAAGGUAUCCUUGCAGAUCUUGGACGGCACAAGGUCCGGCGAGCUGGCAGUAGUCAGGUUGUGCUCCUCCAUCAACCUGUUCUCCCAGGGCCUGGCCGCCAUCCACCUCUCCAGCCAGCUCCAGCUGCCGUUGUUCUUGUCACAAUGCUGAUGCUUGAGCAGGAGACCCGACUGGUUCGACCGGCCAUUGUUCUUCUUCGGUUGCUGCAGAACAGAAACAAUGUCAACUCAAUUCGGACUAGCACUACUGCUGUAGAGUUGUGCAAAGAUGCUCUUGAUUCAGUACAUUGCAUUUCGGAACGCCUUCGAGCUGCUGCGAAUAAACGUAGGCGAUAGCUCGCUCCCGCUUGAUUGCUCCUUCCUGCCGCUUCUGCAGCUUCACCCUCACCGCCUCCAGCGUUCCCUGGCUGUCACACCAUCCUUCCUGAAAGUUCAAAUUCCGUCCGACGAAUGAAUACAAACAAAGAGGAAAUCACAAAUCGUAUUGAAGAACAGACAAACGCAUAGCGGACAGGUAGUAACCUCGGCUUCCCGGAGGAUGUCGAGCUUGGUGCGGCGGGCGUCGAUGAGCUUCUGCACGGCCUGGCCCUCGGUGGACAUGCGCACGCGGCGCGCCCGGAUGCGCGCCUGCACGCGCACCAGCGCCUGCAUGCACCGGAGCGUCACCGCCGCCUGCUUCCUCACCUGCCGCCCGCGCACGAUCGCCUGCAGCCGCACCAGCCCCUUGAGCGCCCGCAGCGCCCUCCUCGCCUGCAUAAACAUAAACACAAACACAAACACAUAGCGUUCGUUCAAAUGCUUUAAUCCGAGAAGAGAACGCCGCGGCGUGAAGAGUAGUGUGGCAGAGUGCGCACCAGGAAGCCGCGGAAGGCUGUCUGGAUGCGGAUGGUGGCCCACUCUUGCCGGACGGCCAUGAAGUCCUUGGCCGGCGCGCGGGCGACGGUGGCGAGGGCGGCGGUGAACAUCUCGGCCGCGGCGGUGGCCACCGAGGAGGCGUCGUCGGAGGCCUCGGACGCCGGGGACCGGUGGCUGCCGCCUCUGGAGCCGCGCCACAGGGAGCCGUGGUCGCCGGAGGAGCUCCUCCACAGCUUCCACUUCCGGCCCUUGUUGGCGCCGCCUCCAUUCACAGAGGGAACUUGCAGCUUGUUCUGCAGAAGCAGAAAAGAAACAAAAAAAAAAGAGUAACUUCUCGAGAUAUAAUGACUGGUACUAUAUAACUCGGCUAUGAUUGCUGAAGAAGACACAAACUUAGAGAUGAAGAGCAAAAGGAAAUUUAUUUUGAGCUAAACAAAGUACUACUAGUAGUACAUAACCCUACUUCAGAAACAGCAAAGUACACUCAAGGACUGUUGCCGGAUCUUCAGACAAGUGCACGAGAAUGAAAGAGACAUUUCCGUGGCCAUUAGAGAUGGCAAUUUCAACUGCAGACUUUUGCCAUUCCAGGAGGAAAAAAGGAACAAUCUUGGUGUUCCCCUCUGCGUCCUUUUUGGGGAAAAAAUGACCUCAAAAACUAGAUGCUGCUAAACCAAUAGCGAGAAAUCAAUAUCAAAACUCGUCUACUCAGUGAAGCCGAAUGUAAUCGAGCUCAGAGAAAACCAAAUCUUUGCCAAAGGCAACAGAAUCUCCGGAAAGAACUGAAUGAACAAACCACUUGCGAGUCGCCCUCACCUUGCAAUCCAGCUCCCGGUCCGGCUUCUUGAGCCCUACGAGCGACUUGACCCACUUCCCGGACCCUCCCAUCUCUUCCUCCCCUCCGCCAAGAACAGCAGCACCAAGCAGCAACCGCAGAGAAACGCACGCAAGAGAAAAUAAACGAGUGCGCCAAGAAGAAGAAGAAGAACACGAGCAAGAGCGAGAGACAGGUGGUCGGUCGGUCUGCGUGUUGCGCGUGCGAGGCCGAGGCGGGGGGCGGCUUUGCAGUGGCCAGUGGGAGGGAGAGCGUUGGGGGAACGGACGCGGUUUGAAAUUCGAAAUGGAGGGAAGCAGCAGAGCCAACGUAUACUAGUCUCCACUUCCAGUAGCCGAGCACGCAGUGGACGCACGCAAAAAGCCAGAGAGAAGCUCGGCAGGGAGCGGGAACGCCAGCUAGUGGAGUGCUCCAGCUAGUUAACUCGACUCCACGACCAGCGUACUUAAUGACUCAAUCAAUGGACAAAAGGAGCAACUGCAAAUAAACAAAAAAAAAAGGUAUGCUUUCGAGAAGGCGGCAGCAUUAGCAAUAUGGUUGGGAGCCUAAAACUAAAAGAAACUGAUAAAGCAAUAUGGGAAGGGAUCCUAUGUGAAUUGUCCGAGUAAUUUUCACUCCUCUUUUCCCGUCCGUCGCUUCAUUUCACGUCGCAUUGGAUUCUCCUUCGUUGCUGCCAUGACAUCUGUGACUGUGGCACAUCCAUAGGAGCCCGCCGGCCUCUGUCCCUCUGUGCCCGUGUUCCUGUUGUUUUCCCCCUUUGGUGCAAAAAAUUUCUCGCGUUUCGCUGCCUGCGUGGGGAACAGCGCCGGGAGAAGAGAGUGGGGGCGCGCAGCUUUGUCUCCUUUUAUUUCUGGAUCCUUGCGAAAGCCACGGCCGCGUCUGAGAGACUGGGGAGUGAGUGCAUGAAAGGAAGAAAAGCUGGAACCGGCGGUUUUCUGGUCAGUGGACUGCGAUUGCGAUGACCACCCCGGCCGGCAACUUUUUCCUGGGGUUUUGCAUCUCGUUGUGAAGGGUUUUUGUGCAGAGCCCCCACGUUUUUGGCGGUUGCGUGGUCUCUGGGUUUGCAGGGUUUUGGGGUUGGACUGGAGGACUCGAUGAAUGGGUCAUGGCUGGCUAUUGGCCUCUUUCUCCUCUCAGUUUUGUUCUUGCGUGUCUUGUGACCGUGUACUCUGUGUAUAGAUAUGCUGGCGCCCCUGAUGUACUCUACCAUGCAUGUCGCGUGUCCUCUCUGGAUCUUGUUCCGUGGAUGACACUUGUUUUGUCCUGUUAUGUUUUUUGAAAAGGAAGGUGUGCUAUUGUACUCCUGACUUUUGCACUAAAAUAAAUGCAAAUGGGCAAUCAUGGUUCAUUAUUACAAAAUUUACAUUUCUUUUUGUUAGAGGGGAAGAAAAUAUAGCAGCUCAUCUGGUCAAUUUGGGGUCCAUUCAUGUAAAUUUUGGAUUAAUAUGUUAAACUUUGGCCCUCCCUGUAUGUUCUGUAGUAUUUUGAGUAUCAACCUCCCAAUCAGAUAGUGGAAUUAAAAAUCUACUCUUUUUUUAUGUAAAUCAAUGGUUGAAAUAGUCGAUUUAGGAACACCAAUGAAUGGGCACAGAUGUCAGCACAUUAGCUGUGGCUCUAUUCUACAAUUCAGUUCCAACUUUUCAUAUAUCCGAAGUCUUAUGGAGUAACUUGCAUUCAUUAUGGAGUAACCAUUCUAUGAUAGCACUAAUGAUGUGUCUACUCAACAACCUUGAAUGCUUGAUUUUGGAAAGCUAAAAAAUGCAGGAUUUUAUUGGAAUUGAAACGUCUACUGUAAGGGGUCAUAUCCGGUGAAAAUCAUCUUAACAUGGAAAACUCCGUAGAAAACCAUUAGAAAAUAAAAAUUAUAAAAAGAAUUGCAGACAGAAAAAAUAAAUCAGCAUGAAUAGAAGUUCUUUAUUGUUUGACACUAUUCACUAGUAUGUCCAUAGAACAUCACAUCUCCAACAUACGGUAUUUUUCUAGGUUUUUAUUUAAAACUUCUAAACAUGGUUUCUAUGAUUUGCACAAUUUGCACCGUAAGGAUGGUUUUCACAUGAUAUUUUCCAUUAUUGUAAACUCUCAGAAUGUAAGGAUUAAAAGAACAUAGUUCAUGUGGCCUCUAUAUCAAUUGACACGUCUUCCUAAUUUUAAUGAGUUUGCUACUAGUGUGUCAUCUUUUUUUCCUCUUUUCAAAAAGGAUGACACCCUCGAUUUGUAUACCAAUGCACAUAGCCAUCUUAAGGUGCCAUCUACAUCGUUGAACACUCUGCGGUUCGCGCAUGCUAUCUCUGCGAGAACAUUGGACUCAGGAACUAUCCUUUUGAUCAGCACACCAUAUCCAUAUUCCAUAGUGACAAACUGACACAAAUGUUCAAACAUAGCUGCAAUCUUACGAUAUCACAAAUUUUUAACACUUAAAAAAGUAGCCAUCAUCACAUGAACCAGAUGCCGGCUCCUGCAAACCAUAUGUUGUUCUACUGACUCUCUAACCAACGGGGAAUAUUCCAAAAGGACACACACAAUCAGAUAAGACUUUGAGAUCCUAUCCUACUCUAGCUAUAUUCUUCACCAAGACCUGGCUUAGUGCAGGGCUAAAAGCAUGUACUUCCAACAAAAUGCACGAAAAAGUCCUCAUUAUAUAGUCACUUGAUCUCCCUGGCUGGUAGCCUGAUGUCCUCCCAUUUGCUGCACCCUUUUGGCAUCAUCCCGGCAUAAUGAGCUCAUCCUCAUGAAGCUUAGCUUAUCCUUGUUUGACAAAUCUAACCUUCAUUUGAACUAAACUACCAGAUCCAGAAAUGACACCUUUGACAAGCACUCAUUAAUGUAAUACCUAGAUGCCUAUGGCAUGUUUGCUCCCAACUUGCAUGUGCACACCAUCAGUUAAUUCAGACUUGCUUCAGAUAGUCAUACCAGUUUGAAAAAAAGGCAUGGCAGGCAUGAGUGCCAAAAGGUUUGGUGCCUCAUCAAAAAGAGUAAAAGGAAUUGAUUUCAGAGAAAAGUGAGGACAUCAUGCAGAAAAAGGUUAAAAUAAAAAGGAGCAUCCUCUUGCCAUUAGCAUGCAGAGAAGAGAAUCUUGAGAUUUGAACCAGCUUUAGCGCCGAUUGGCGCUCCUUGCCAGACACGACCAGAAAAGAUGAUGCAUGGUUAAGGUCUUAAGGAGGACAAUUAUUAAACAAUGAGCGCUCAUCUGAAAGUCCUCUGAGCUUGUCUGCUCUCUCGCUCUUAUCUUUGCCGAAGAAACGAUACAUUUGUGGAUAAGCAAUCUUUCACCAAGAGCAAGAUGCUGAAUUUAUGGCCGCGAUGGUUUUCCAGGGAGCAGCAUGCUGAUUAGGAAUUUUUUUAGCGAAGCAUGCUGAUUAGGUUAGCAGGGGCCGGGGGGGAUGAGUAAGACGGGAUCGGGUGUUUAAUAGUGGGCUCCAGUAGUUAGCUGUCCUGUGUGGACCGAUCAUAUUGACCGGGUCCAUUGACCACGGGUUUGAAUGUAGUUGGGCCGGCCCUAAAUACUACGCCAGGUUUCCAGGCAUACCGGACAGUCAAGGCCAGUUUGCAGGUGGGCCUAAUUCACGGAGGGUAACUUUAGCUCACAACCCCGUCAAAAAAAAAACUUUAGCUCACCAGUCACAACCAGUUGAUUCUACAAAAACCUCACACGCUGCUUCCUGAACAAAAAAUGAGGGACCGGCUCCGGGAGAGCCGGGAAUAUUUACUCGCACUGUCGUGCGACACAUGACACCCUUAUUUGAAGAGCCUCUUAAGAUUUUUUCUAUUGAAACUACACUAAUAUUCGAUCUUAUCGUUAAAUCAUGAAUAGUUUCAUUGUUGGUUUUCUUUUGACAAGAUCGUUAAGCCUAGUUCUUAUAUUAGAAGUGAUUAUUAGAAAUCGAUUGGGUCUUCCCUGGCCGAUUCGAUGAUGUUCUAAGGAUUUUAGGCAGGGCCAAACAAUAAUAUGGAACAAGGUAACUUCACUGCCUAAUACUCUAGCGCUCCCCGAUCUGCAGUCUAUCCUAUCUUUAUUCCGUAUCCCAUGCUGUCCCAUUAAAUCUCUUCUUAUGUCCCAUGAUGUUUCAAUUGUUUCAUGUGUUGAAUUCGUGUCAGAUAGAAAUCUGUAUUUCAGAAAGGGCCCUGCCGAAGCAGAACACAUUUUUUAUUUAUUUAUCGCUGUAUCACCACCACAGCCUUUCACCAUCCCGUAAAUCCCAUGACCAACCAGCUCCCCAAACUUUUAUUUUUCUUCAAACGGAACAGCUCUUCCAUCGAAGUCACUUGGCGCUAGCUAUAUAUGGAUCCAGUCCUUGCAUUCACGCACACAUGCCGCCGUGUCGUCACCAGCAGCUGCUGUAUCUGCAAAUCAAACGGCAAUGCAGAACUCAGAAUCAAUCCUCUGAUAAUAACAAAAGAAGUAACAAAGGAUCAACCGGAGCAAAUGCAGCGCAAGAACAUCAUACGACGCAAGAAAAUCUGUAUCCGUCAGCGCCCGGCGCGCGACGGCUCAUCGAAGCCGCAGACGGAGAUGACAAAGCAGGCCACCUUGCGCUCGGCGUUCUCGUCAUCAUCACCGUAGCGCCCUCCGUGGCGACGGCCACGGCUGCUGAAGGCGGUGGUGGGGCUGCAGUCGUCAGCACACUUCAUUAAGCACGCAAAACUCCCGUGGGCGAGGUGGCACUGCCUCAGGGAUGCAAAUGGGAUCCCACGAAAAGCCCGCUUCUAAUUCAUUUUCAAAUCUCUGUUCAAAAUUUUGCUCAAAAUUUAAAUAGGAGAUUGAAAAAUUGAACUAGAAGUGGGCCUUUCGCGGGAUCCUGUUUGCACCCCUACACUAUGUGUAGCACACUUGACGUGGACGGGUCCCGACGUGGAAGCAGGGGCAGAUGAUUGACUUGGAUGGGUCCGGACGUGGCGGCGGCCGCCUGCUGCCGCUGACUGGAUGGCAACGACAGCAGGACGACCACGCACAUGGCAGCAAUGGCGGUCGCUCUUGUCUUCGCCUCCAUCUUCGAUCCUUCCUCAGGGCAACUGCUGUGGUGUGGACUUUGUGCUUGUGUUUGGGUGGCUUAUAUAGCACCGGAGCACCGAGGGCGCAGCGUCGGCAUUUCACCUAUACCUGGGCAUGGGUGGCCUGGCCUGGCCCGAAGCCCGACAUCCCGGGCCGGGCUCGGGCCUCAAUUUCCAGUCCCAAGCCCGGUCCGAAAUGACCAAAAACGGGUAUUUUUUUAUGAAAAAUAGGUAUAAAAAUCAUUUAUUUAUUCCGAAAAUAAUUAUUUUAAUGCUUACAUGGCAUAUUUUCGGGGUUUCGGGCCGGGCCUGGGCUUCAAGUUUGAACGUCCGGCUUUUAUGAAGCCCGGCCCGAACCCGGCCCGGCUCGAGGUUUGCCCAGGUAUAAUUUCACCUGUGUAAUUCUCAAUGUACAAAAGCCUAGUGUUUUCCAAUGAGGUGGAUGAUCGAUUGAGUCGAGUGUGCUGCAUCCAGGGACGGAGCCAGAAAAUCAUCACUAGGGGGUGGGGGGGAGAAAAAUCAAAGCCGCAAAAAAGAACUGCUCCAUCCGAUCCAUAAUAAAUGUAUUGAAUUUAGUACAAAGUUGAUGAUUCGGAAGGAGUAUAUAGUUUUGAUAUCCAAUAUAUAUAGAUAGAAUAGCAAGUAGAGUCAGAUCUAAAUAAUAAAAAUAUAACUACAAUUGAAGAACCAAAUAAAUUUUAUAAUCUGAACAUAGUUCGGCAGUUUGUUUGUUAUAAUCAAUUUUCUAAUCUGAACACAAUCAAUUGAAGAACCAAAUCAAUAUAGAAGAUGAAGUAGAUUAACUUGUCCACCUGCCGUGGUGCUGCCUGCUUGAUUAAUCAGCAGCUUCCGAUUUUGAUCUGGAAGAGAAUUGGGAGCGCCGCUGGUUUGGGACGUUUGAUCUGGAAGAAAAUUGGGAGCGUCGCUGGCUGGGGACGAUAGCUGCAGCAAAGAGACAACGCGAGCGCAUCGAGGUUGGGCUUCUUCUCUUUGCUGGGCCAUUAGGCACAAAUAUGCAGUCCCACAUGGGCGGGGGGCAAAAUCAUAGGUCCAACUAGGAGGAGGGUGGGGCUGCAUCCAAUUUUGCUAUAUGUGUUCUUUUCUGAACUAAUGGUAGGUACUACUGGGAAAAUAGCUCUUGUAGACCUCAAACUGUUUUGGGAAGUGCAUGUGGUGGCUCAUCUUUAUUUGCUUAGGCAAGCCUUUGCUUGCUUUGUGAAUCUGCCUGCGCUGAUAGAGAAAGACAAUAGAAUGCAGUUUUCAUAUGCAAUGCUACUUGUAUGGGCUGGCUGGCAAUUGUCUGUUUUUAAUCACCUCUGUUUAGCUGUACAGAUGCAAGGAAAGAAAUCAUAGUUCAUUGACAUGCCAGUAAGGAGAUACUUCCAGACUUCUAGAAGCAAUUUCAUUGAUUUUUUUUUACCAGCAACAAGAUCGUAUUAACAAUCGUCUUCAUUUUCUAUCCUCUUAUUCUUUCAUCAAUGUCAUGAAAGAUGGAACCGAUUUCUGUUUUGCAUGAUGUGGCAAUCUCCUCAAAGAAAUGGCUGAUAGGAAUUAUUGCAGGUACUUGUAGCCUCUACGGACACAAAAGUAUUACGUCACGCACUAUGCUACUCUCUCUGAUUCUAAAUUCUUGACUCAAAUUUGUCCAAACAUGGAUGUAUCUAUUCUUAAAAAACGUCUAGAUACAUGUAAUAUUUCGACAAUAAUUUAGAAUCGGAGGGAGUACGUUAGAACAAAAUAAAAUUUUCUAUCAGGCAUCGGCAAGAUCAAUGUUGAAGUUAAUAGAUCACGGAAUUACCGGUAGACGUGUAAAACCGUAGCAAAAAUAGAGUUGAUUUAGCGAGCUGAUGCCGAGUAGACGAACUACUAGCUUCUCCUUGUGAAUCUUCGUACGGUUCGUCCAAGCGAGUCCAAGGUUGAAACAAUUAUGAAAGAGUCAUAAAUCUUCCCACGUAAACAAGCUAAGGUUGUGUUUGUUGGAUAAUAUAUUAUUAGUACACUAUGGUAUAAUGUGUUCAAAAUUAUUGUCAUGCAUAUACAUUGUUUGAUGGAGUGAAAAAAUGAUCAUAUGUAGCAAAAUAAACACACACACACACUCUUAAACGACUAAUUUACAUUUAAAACAGUACAGUCAGCACUAAUACAAAACUACAGAACUACGUGGUCAUUCAUGUCAUUUCAGCAUAUUUUAGCUGCAGUCAGACCAGUCGCACAAACAAACAACUCCAAUCUUUCAGCUGCAGCUGGCAGACAAACACAACCUAAAAGGUUCGACAAUGAUGGUAGAAAGCUGCAAGGAAGCCAAUGGGGCCUUAUGUAAUGUUAGCAAGUACACUACAUUUUUCUUUUUUGCCAGGGAAGUAUACUACAAUCAAAUUGAAGUGAAAGCACUAAGUUGCACCUGUCAUGUGCACCAAAUUUCUUCCCGUUGCAAUUCCAAACAACUUCAUUUGGUCUUGCGUCUUUCUUUGCCUUGCUUUAGCUGCCAACUAGUAAGAACCUUAUCACCUUCCAUUUCUCACAUGUGUUCCUGCCUUUGGAUUGAAGAAUGCCAUCCAACCUACAAGGAUCUGCCUCCUGUAUUGAUCUGUCUUUGCAUGAUUGAUUUAUAACCGCUACAGGGAAGCAACUUCACAGGGAUUCAGAAUAGACCUUAAUUGUUGUUACAUAGCACGAUUUACUAUAUCACUGGUUGACUAAUUGUGUAGUAAUCUGUGCAUGUAGUUGUACAUGAGGCUAUUUGCAGUCAUUGUCCAUUGCCUCAAACGUUAGAAUGGAACAUGCACCAAAAAUUUUAGCACCAAAUUUACAUAUUGUACACCAAAGACAAGGAUAAUGCAAAUACAACGCCAAAUGAUCAGAUACAUAUAUGCAUUCUUUGUACUAUGGUUUCCUUAGCAUGGCCAAAUCAGUGCCACCUCGGGCUCUUGGCACUGAUCAUCAUUUGCUACUUUUCUUUACAUCGGAACUAUGUAACAGAGGAAUAACAUAGAACCACAACCUAAGCAAUGCACUAGAACAUGAUAAGGUAAGGGUGCAUAUUUAUGAUCUCAUACUAACAUCAAGCAUAACACUUCUUAUAUUUCUCAGAAGCUCUUGUAAGGGCCUAAGCUGCCAUGCCAUCUCAUUUGCUGCAUGCAGUGCUAAAACUCGGGUUUGGCAGCAGCAUUCUGCCCCAGUCCAAGCCAUGGCUGGCUCUCAGGCUCCUUCUUUACAGGUGGUUCAUCUGAUGGAGAAGAGGCAUAUGGUGCCUUUGCAUGAAGGCUAUAAAAACAGAAAAGAAAGUUAGAUCCAGAAAAUGCAGUGGUGACUAAACCAUACCAUACAAUGUGACAGAGAGAGCAAAUUACCGAUCAUUCCUCUUCUCAAGGAACCGGUGAAGUGAUGCCUUCCUAGCAAUAGGCAGAUCUAGCAGGCCAAAAAUAGUUUAAUGAAUAAUUGACAUCAUAGGAUUCAACAAAUCGUAUGUUAAACAUCACAAUAGACAUGAACAACAAAGUCAGGUAACUACCGGCAGCGUUAGGAUGAGCGGGCUUGUGAGCAUCAGUCUGAGCACCAGGCAAGCUACUUGCUGGGGCCGGCACAACUGUUUCAACCUUCUUGUUGUCGGUAACAGGUGCGGGCACGGGUUGUUCUGAACGACAGGGUUGCCCUUGCUAGCCAGCUAAAUCAAGUUCUUUGCCAUGUCAGCUGGGAAGUCGUUGAACACGAGCACCUUUCCACCAUAGAAGAUGCUCAGCUCACGCUUCUCUUGCUCCCUCUAAUUUAUUUGCACACAACUCUUGAGUACACUUGGGAAGAACACCACUCCAAUUUACCGUCAGUUGCCUUCUGAGUGUCAAGCACAAAUAUUCUUUCAGAAACGGUUCAUGUACUAUCAACAUCGGUACAAAUCAACUCUUUCUAUUAACAAGGAUCCAGUUUAAGGUCCAUAGACUCUGAAGUCUGAGCAACCUAGUGUUACAAGUCUGAGCAUGCAUGACUGAUUAGAUCAUUCCAACAAAAUAGACAGCAGGUUCUUGUAAUUGCAAAGAUUCAGUUUUAACUGCUCUUUCAAUUAUAGUUCAUGCCAAUACAAAAUCUUCUUCCAACAUUUAGUACUGAUUCAGUCAUUCAGCUAAACUAACACAAGAUAGGAAGGCUUCUGAACUCAACGUUUGGCUUUUAUUUCUAUGAUUCUCACAAGCUUAGUAUGAGCCUAAAAUAAACAUCGAGUAGAGGAAAGUGGCGUGUGUGGUCCAAUACCUAGCAACAGCAUCAGGGGUAGACGCAUCCUGCACACUGCCCAAGCCGGCGCUCUGCGGGAAGAGCUCCAUGGUCUCCUUCUUCAUCCCUGGCUCUUCGCCCUCCGCUCCGAGCAAAGAGCUCUUCGUCCUCUGCGCGUCUGCGUCACCUGAAACCAAAUAAAACCGCGCACAUAUGAGAUCAGAGAACUGGACCGCCCGCUCUGAAAUUCCAGACCAAAUCGACGUGAAGCCAAUUGGAACACGAACCCGCCCAAACCUCCCCCAACCAACGGAAAAAGGCGACCAGCUCUAAUCGACAGCAUCACAGCAAUCCCAGACCACGUGCUCACCUUUGCUGAACCCGAGGCUAAGCUCGGCCGCGGCGCCGCCGUUCUGGCGGACGUAGAGGCUGAGCAGGCUGCAGGCCACGGCGAAGCUGCUGGGCUUCUCCCCGGGCCUCGUGGAAGCCGCUGCCAUCUCCUCUCCUCCGCUCCACAACAAACAACCUCCUGCUCAGGCGCCUGAAGAACCAGCCAAGCUCGUGGCGCGGUCCUUGGCCGGAGCAGCGGUGGUUGGUUUGCCUCUUCUCCCCGUGUGCCUUCACUGCCUUGGCCGUGUGCGUGUGCGGAGGACGCGGUUUCAGGUUCAGGGUACGAAAUGAACCAGAAUGAAAAUGAGUGAUUAAAAUAAGGCGCGGGCCGGGCCAGGCCAGGCGGCCAUGAUUGUUGUUGAAGAAUUCCGCACGUGGUAGAUGUGGUGGGGCUUUCGAGCGAGAGUUAUUUUCCUUACUUUUUUUUAGGGACGUUGCGUCCGCCGGGCGCUCUCUCUCCCGUGUGCGCGUGUUCAUGCGGCGUCGUGCCAUCGUGUCCUCGGUCGGCAUGGACAGCAGCCGUGCAACCGUGGAGUGCAGAAGAGGGAAAUGGGAACCGCGGUGCUCGUGGUGUUGAACUGCUGGAGCAGAAAGCUGUGUUUUUUUAACGGAAAACGCUGGGUUUUUUUUUUCUUACAAGAGCAGGUUGCAGACAGAGUUUGUGGAGUAUUUUUUUUUCUGUUUUUUAACGUGUGUAUAUGUAUUAACAACGGUUUUGUUAUAUCCAAGUUGCAACUUAGAUAUAGUCACCCUAUUAAGAAUCGUUCUAAAUCAAAUACUUCAAAUGAUGCUGGUUUGGUGUCAAAAAAUAUAUUUGAUAAUACUCCAAACGGAGUAUUAUGUUAGAAAAGUGAUGUUUUAUAUAUUUGUAAAAUUUCAAGUCCAAACUUAAUUUCGUUUGGUAGCAGCGAAAUGUUCCGACAUUUUGCCGAUGUUGCAAAAUAGCAAUGCAUACUUGAGAAUGUUCUAUAAUACUGUAGAGAAUAUAUAAGAGAAGAUAUCUGCAGUGAGCUUUAUAGAUUGAAUGAAAGUUCUGUCAUUGGAAAAUUCUAGACAUUUACCAUGACAAACACUAGCAAUUUCUUCAUGGUACACUAGUAAAAAUCUAGAAGUAAGAUAUUUGUGUAGAGUACUCUAGAGUAAAGAUAUUUAUAGUCGUAGAAUUUGGAUGGUUGCCACUUGACAAUAAUGCAACGGUGUUGUAAUACUAUAAUGAUUAUAUCUAAGUCGCUUGACUUUCGUUUAGAAAUAAGUCGAUUUCUCAGACAUUGGAUACGGCUUGUGCUUCGAAAUUCGAAUGAAUUAUGGAAAAAAGACGAGUGAUAUGACAUCCAUAUACUACACGGCUCUGAUACGUCGACUGAUGUUAAAAAUCAUACGCAUAAGACAUAGCCACACACAUGCUAUAAAUAUAGGUGCUCUUCUAACCUCGUUAGUGCACUGCCACACUACGAGAAAAGAAAUGAGCUAUCAUUAUUAAGAGAUUAUAUACUAACACAACUAGGUAUUGAUAACUAACUAAUGAUAGGUAUGUAUCCAAAUGAGAUGUAAUCCCAACGACGCCUCUCCAAUACGAACCCCCUCACUCCAGCAGCCAUACCCUCCAAAACCCCAGUGAUCACAAUUAGUAUUCUUCACCUUCCAAUACUUCUUCUCGGUCUUCUUUUGUUUAUGCAAUACCGAGGCUUCGACUUACUUUAAUCGGCAUGCAAAAUAUCAGUUAUAUAAACCAUAUACACUGCUUACGAGUGUUGAUCUCACUAAUGAGGCUUUUGCAAAAAAUAUGAUUACUAAUGUAUUUAUGGAAUUUGUCCAAACUUUUCUAAUUUCUCAAGUGGAUCACCAAAAUCUGGAUUUCUCCGUUGCUGAAAAUCUUUAUUAGCGAGAUAGAAGGAAACAAAAUAUACACAAAGGUUUCAUGAUCUGCUUUUCAUAAUCUUUAGUACCAUGGCAUGAGAGUAAACAUAAAAUAACAAAUUCACAUGUACACUUGCAUGACAUAAUAACAAGAAUAAAACAUGAGAUGGUAAAGUUGCAUUAUGUAACGAAAAACAUUAUUAAAAGUGAGACUUCAUAUUAUACUAUGUGCACGAAGCGUAAAAAUCGACUGGCAACUAUUAUUUCUUAUUGCUUAAUUUCAACGAUUAACAUUUCUAAUUGCUUCAUUUCAGCACAUUUGCAUUGUCACAUGAUUCAUGUACCGAUUGCUUCUUAUUUCAGCACGUUUGGCAUUGUCACAUGAUUCCCGUGCUGUUUCGAAUUGAUUGUCAUUCAGGUUACUUGGUUAGUUAUUUUGGAUUGGAUUAUUUCAUUAAUGCUUACAUGUGACAAAAGAAAAUGCUGAAGUAGUUGUUUUUAACUGAAAGAGAAAUUAUAUUGUUCACAAAAAUAAUCGACGAUUUAGACUUUCACACACGACCUUUGAAACUCGGCUUGGAUAAUUGAUUUUGAUCAUAGUUAGCGCAACUCCAACCACACAACUCAUUGGGGACGGACCGGCGGGACGACCCAUUUCGGUCCGCCGCAACCCUUUUUCCACCCAAAUUUGGUCCAGGUUUGGGUCAGAACGAACAACACGUUCAGAUCUGUCCGGAUCGCGACCCAAACAAUCAAAACAAAUGCUUUUGACCACGGAUUUGAGUCGCAUGGCUGGAGUUUGCGCUGAACUUAAGGAAGUACUUUUCAAGUAAAAUCGGCCAUCACAACUCGACUAAAAUAAACGGCUGAUUCGACCGCAUUUCGGCUGCAGCCUCAGAGGCCCAAAGCUGCACUUCUGCUGCAGCCCAUGGAUGUACGACCUGAGUAACCAAGAAGCACAGUCAGCCCAGGAACCUAACAGCCCCAUAGCGUUUCGGAGUCCCGUAGUGUUUCGGGGCGAAACCGCCGCCGCCGCCGCGCAGCCGCCGCUCCGUCCUGUUCUUCCUCGCCGGUACCGCCUGUCUACCUUCCUCCUCUCCCCCCCGUGCUUCUCUGCAGGGCCACGGGCGCCGCCGUCUACCCAUUCCGUGCUUACCCAGCCACCAGUCCGCCAUAACCAUCCCGUGCCUCCUCGCCGCCGGCGCCUCCCCUUCCCGCCGGCGACGUAACUCUUCAGCUCGGGAGGUUCAGCAGCAGCCUCUUCGUUGAGUUUUACAAAUAAAUUUGACAAGGAGUGGUUUCCCCCGUCGAUCUCAUCCGUUCUCUCUCCGCGUGAGCUUCAGCGGCGACAACACUGGGCUGCUGCGGCGAGCACAGCGAGUGAGUGCCACGGAGGCAACAGAGGAUGAUGGGCUCUGCAUUUGACGGGCUCUGAAUUUUCGAAAUCUCUAGAUUGCCCCAGCCAAACCCCUAAACCCUGUCUUUACUCUCCCCACGGCGGCGCUCCCGAAUCUUUCGACGGCAGCGCGACCCUCCGCGUCUUGCGUCUCCACCACUCAACCCAUACGGCCACACGUCCUCUUCUUCCUGUGACCUACUCAAGCUCCAUUCCGCCGCCGCAGCUGCUCCCUCUGUCCCUGCAAGGCUGGACCCGUCCCGCAACAUUGGACAUUGGUUUUCCAGGCACUCCGUAAUCUCUGUGAGCUUUUACUCAUCUCCCUCUAAACCCAAACUAAACUAAGCUCCACAAACUUUGGGUGCGUACACACAUCUAGAUCCUCCUGAAUUUCAGUACAUGUUAUAUAAUUCCCUUUCUGCCUAAAUUUUAUUAUUUGUGCUCUCAGCAGUCAGCAUUAAUCUGGCCUAGUUUGUCAUGUCAUGUUCUGUCAGGAGUAAUGGUGGAUAUAUUCCAAAUCCUGCUCUGCUGAAAAGAACUGUGCACCACUUAAUUCUGCGCAAAGCCGCAAAUAACAUUCUUGCGACGUUUACAUGAUUUAUGUUCUCACUCAGUGCCUUGGUGCUCUAUAAAACUCUUUAAAAGGUGGCUAAAUCUGCCCUUCUUUUCAUGCCUCGAAUACUUGUGCUUGUUAGUGCUAGAUGUAUUCCUUGGUUGGGUGUUUUUAGUUAGUACAAUGAUUUCUGCCCAACCUAAAUUCUAGUCCUGAAUUUACAUUGUAGGGAUUUUUAUGGGAACAGAAAGCCUGGAGGCUUGGAAUUAGGGAUAACAAUCACAGUGAUAUCUUUGUUUCUUGCAGGAAAUUUUUAUAUGACUUGUACAAUUAUUUCUGGGGUGGCUCUCUGCGCCAACUAAUCAAGGAAGUAUGCUCCAUGAAGUGCAAUUUUUGUGUACGUUUUUCCUUCUUCGACUGGUGCUGUCAAUGUAAGGAGGGGACAUUAGAGCCCUACUUCUGCGCCAACUAAUCAACGAAGUAUGCUCCAUAAAGUGCAAUUUUUGCGUACGUUUUUCCUUCGACUGGUGCUGUCAAUGUAAGGAGGGGAGAUUAGAGCCCUUCUUCUAUGCGACGUGCAGUGCUAGGGUUCCUGCAUCAAGACCUUGUAAAAAUAAACCACCCUCCAGCAUCGCGCCUUUACUCUCUGGCUUGUUGUUUGAAGAUCUCAGAUCAUCAAGAAACCACGGGAAGCUCUGUUUGCAGUGAGUAUAGAAGUCAGUGUCUUCUUCUCCUGAUCACGCAAGCAGUUCGGACAUCAAACGGGGACAAGGCCAAAAAGAUAAGCUUUGGGAAGUGUGCCAGGUUAUAUGGGCUAUCUCGGACAAUUGGGCUGUUUGCAUUGCUUAUACGAUCCUUCUUGCCACGGAGAAUCAGAGAGAUUUGGUGCUUGAUUCGGAGCAUUGUUGAUUACUGUGGAAGUGCCGGCCCGGAGUUGUUUGAGUUGGCACCUAUGUUGGUCAGCAAUUUGGGUGGCUCAAUGACAUUGCUACAAGUUCAUGCUACAGCCAUACGGAUUUUUCUAGAGUUGUCGAUGUUUGAGGAUGCUCUCCUCACUUACACUGAAGCCAAGAAAGUUGGAGUGGAGCUGCAGCUGUGCAACUUCCUGCUGAAGUUUUAGUUGAGAGGAAUCAAAUCAUGUAUGCGAGGAGUUUGUUUGAUGAUAUGAAGAGUUCUGGUCCGUCACCAAAUGUGUACUCUUAUUCGGUUUUGAUGAGUGUGUAUACCCAUGGGGAUAGGUUAUACUUGGCAGAAGCUUUUGAGCUUCUUUCUGAAAUGGAAAUGGAAGGUGUGAAGCCGAAUGCUGCAACCUAUGGCACUUACCUCUAUGGGCUAAGCCGUACCAGACAGGUGGCAUCUGCAUGGAACUUUCUUCAAAUGCUUUGUCAGAGAGGCUACCCUUGCAACACUUACUGUUUUAAUGCAGUGAUUCAGGGUUUCUGUAGUGAAGGUCAGGUUCAGGAAGCCAUAGAAGUGUUUGAUGCGAUGAAGAAGCGUGGGUUUGUCCCAGAUACUCAUAGCUACAGCAUAUUAGUUGAUGGGUUAUGUAAGCAAGGGGAUGUAUUGACAGGCUAUGACCUGCUUGUUGAAAUGGCAAGAAAUGGAAUAGUGCCUACUCUGGUCAGUUACAGUUCACUUUUGCAUGGUCUUUGCAGAGCUGGAAAGGUUGAAUUGGCACUUGAGAUUUUUAGGAGGCUUGAAGGACAAGGUUUGAAGCAUGACCACAUAGUUUACAGCAUUGUUCUUCAUGGCUGUUGCCAACAUUUGGAUAUAGAGGUUGUCUGUGACCUUUGGAACGAAAUGGUUCAUCAUAAUUUUGUUCCAGAUGCGUACAACUAUACUAGUCUGAUAUAUGCAUUCUGCAGAUGUAGAAAUCUGAAAGAAGCACUGGGAGUAUUCGAACUCAUGCUUGACAGUGGAGUAAGCCCCAACAUUGUGACAUGCAUCAUUCUAAUUGACGGCUUCUGCAAAGAAAGGAUGAUUGGUGAAGCCUUCUUAUUCCUUGAUAAAGUACGUCAGUUUGGAAUUGUCCCAAACCUUUGUACCUACAGAGUUAUCAUCAAUGGUUUGUGCAAGGUCAACAAAUCUGAUGACAUGUGGUGAGUUUUUGCAGACUUGAUUAAAAGGGGCUAUGUUCCUGAUACUGUCCUUUACAGUAUUAUCAUUGAUGGUUUUGUGAAAGCUUUGAAACUACAUGAGGCUUUCAAGUUGUAUCAUAAAAUGUCGGAUGAGGGUACAAAACCCAAUAUCUUUACAUAUACUAGCCUCAUAAAUGGUUUGUGCCAUGAUGAUAGGCUCCCAGAAGUUGUGACAUUGUUUAAACAUAUGAUCGGGGAGGGACUGACACCAGAUCGUAUUCUGUAUACAUCUAUUAUUGCGUGCUAUUGUAAGCGUCCAAACAUGAAGGCAGCUUUGGAAUUUUUUAGAGAGAUGGGAAAAAACGGCUUAUCAGCAGAUGCUUUCGUCUAUACUUGUUUAAUUGGUGGCUUCAGUAAAUUGCUUGCGAUGGAUGGUGCACAGUGGUUGAUGGAAGAAAUGAUAAAUAAGGGGCUUACACCUACUGUUGUAACUUAUACAGAUCUCAUAAUUGGGUACUUCAAAAUCAGAGACGAGAGAAAAGCUAAUAUGAUGUACACCAGUAUGCUUCAGGCAGGCAUUAUACCGGAUGCCAAGCUCAGUUGUAUAUUGGGUUUAGGCGAUGAUGCGGAUGGUUUUGGGGAUUCUCGGAAAGAGAAGGAUGUAUUGUAGUGGCUCUAUUAACUUGCUACUGUUCCUUGAAUUUUCCUGUUUUAUAGUCAAAUGGGGCAAGCAUACCUGCGUGAAAUGAUGACGAGAGAAUAGCUUAGUGUUCAGCGAGCAGCUCUCAGAGCGUGUAGUCUUGUACAAGUGAGACUGGAAUUGCAAGCACCUUAUUUACCAAAGUGGCCUAAAGAUCCAAGUAUUCAUACUAUCCCUGUAUUCCUUGAGUUUUCCUGUUUGAUAGUCAACAGGGGCAAGCAUUUCAAUGAGCUGUAAGCAGAUCAGCAGUGAUUGGUGAGAUCUGGCAUGCAGCAUGCUAUUGGAGACUCAGGAUAAGAUCUAGACUGGUCAAUUGGGAGCAUUUAGGUAACCUCAGAGAUGUAUAUGAUUUCGGCAGGUUUGCUUCUGUUCUAUUGUUCACUUUUUUGAAGCCUUAUUUACACCCAAAUUCUAUUUUUAGUGUUCUACUCCUAGACAACUUAGUUCCAUGCUACUCUACAAAAGGAACCUCCCAGAAUGGUAUUACACCUUGCUGCAGGGAAAUGUUCUGUACAUGUAGGCUACUGUGUUACAGAAAAUAGAUUAGUUUCAUACAUCUCACUGGGUAUCCUAUCUUUGUUGUGUAAUAAAAUCGGAGUAUAUUGAGCAUGAUACUCACCUUUGGACCCUCUUCUACUCAUAAUGAUUUUUUCAUUUCUUUUCCCUUUAAAAAAUGUAGGCAAAUUCUGUUCAUUAAGUCAGUAAAUUGAGUAAAACAUAGUCUGAAAACGACAAGUAGAAAUUAGAAAGAUAUAAAGAAUGGCAUGCAUUUGUUAUUUUUAUUUAUUUUCACAUUCUUCCAGUGCAUGUUGCCAUGUAUUCCAACUUUAGUCCUUGUCUAGCAAUCAAAACCUUGCAUUUUAUGUUUCUAUCUCUUCUGGUUUGUUUGGCGUAUACAAGUAUACAACAUUUGCAGUUUCUGACGAAAACUAUUUAAUUGCAUGUAUUCGUGUCUGUUGAUAUUUCAUCCGUCUUCAGCAGAAAUCAGCAUAUCAAUGAUGCUCUUGAUCUUCAGAGUACUGUUCAAUAUAGGUAGCAGAUUUUGCUCAGAUUUUUCAGUGACAACUGGUUCAAACCUAUUUCAUUUUUUUGUUUUGCGGGGAAAACCUAUUUCAAUUUGGGCUGUACUUAAAACAGUUCUAACAUUCCAGGUGCAGGCUCUACUUAUAGCAGUGCAGAGACUAGGCAGAGUAACUUGUACGUUGCAUCAUGUCCCCCUUUUCCUUUAGUUUCACACUUGUAUCAUCUUGCUCUGAUAAAUUUAAUAUUCUUAUUGCUUUGGUCUAUGUCAAUGUUAGUUUUCAUUAGCACAAUAGUCAUGCGUUGCUAUGCCUUAUAAAAUAACACGUUCUAAAAGAAUGUUGUACUAUUUAUUAUCUGUAUUAUCUUAGAUCAUGCAAUCCAUAUUUGUUUUCAUCUCAAUGAUUUGUGUCAAAUCAACAAGUGAUAAAAAAAUCAAGUAGCACUCCCAAAAAAUGAUGGACCACCACCACUGAUUAAGUCUUUUAUAGGAGUAAAGGUAUGGUGCAUCGACACUGAUUUUGGCACCAAAUUUGGAAGUAGUACAAAUAUUGUGUAAACAAAUAAUUUAAGCGGCUAAAUUUCUUAUGAUGGAACUUUGUUUAUGAGUUAUACGCUUCAAGGUUUCACAUUAUAUUAUUACCUCCUGAGGCUUGGAAUUUACCAUAUUCUGAUUCUUCAAUUUAUUGAAAACCAACCGGCACCAUCCAGGCAUGAGGGCAUGCCUCUGGCGGUCCACCGGACGAGCAUCGACUCAGGUUGGGUGACCAAACCACAAGCAUGUUUGCCAAGCUUGUCUAGUAAGUUUUCUUGACUGUGAAUUGUGCAUAUUAUGUGCUCGUCAUUUUGGUUUUAUUCUCUCAAGUUGGCAUAUAUAUCUUGAUGUGUUUUUAGAUGGUUCAGUUUGUCAAGUGUUACACGAAGAUAAAUAUGUGUCUCUAGGGAAGUUUUAAGUUUUUAACUUCCAUACCGAGUAGAUGCUAGGCCUAGACGAGGGGGAGAUUGAUAUUCUCAUUCCUUUGAAGGUGUGCUUAAGCAGUGCUAUUCUGCUUGAGAACAUAAAUCAACUUUUAUUAUAAACAAAAACAUGGUUGCGAUAGACUUAAAUGCUAAUCUACCUGUGUCAUGGCACCCUUUUCACAUUAUUGUUGUUUGUGGGAUCAAAUAAAUAUUUAAUCUUAUCGCGGCUAAUGCAAACAUUAUAUUUUGUCCAGUGUUAACUAUGCUGAUUAACUAUUCUCUAUGGCAGUGUGCUGAUUGACAGGGACCAUUGAAUGUUGCCUUUUGUACCUAAACACAAGGCCAUGCAUUUGACCAUUUUUGCAUGCGGUCCCUUGAUUAUACUGAUUGAGUAUUUGCAAAAAAAGAAAAUCACACUGAUUGUCUGAUUGUAUUUCUUUUAAUUUGUUCUAUCGGGGCAACCAGGGAAAGACAGGAAGCAAGAAGCAUCGUGGGUGGCGAGAGCAAGAGAAUGAAACGAGUGGAUCUUUAUACAGAUGGAAACCGAUUGUAAAUUUGGAGCACCCACAUAGGGCACACAAGAGGAGGGACAGUGAGAAAUGAAGGCAUGGAGCUCGAUGGCUGGUGGAGCAUCAGCAAGUAGAAGGCAUAUGAGACCAAGACCUUCUUGUUGCGAUCUCAGACGAGUGGAGGAACUGGAAACUUGCCAAGCUGUUUAGCAGUAGUUCUUAUUCGUUCUUCUUUUACAGUAGAGACAGAGGGGACAUGUGGAGAGAUGAGGGGUAAACGCUAAUGUAAAAUACUUUGCUGCUCUCAUGCAGUUUCUUUCUAUAAAAGAAGAUAUUCUAGAAAAAAAA
RNAcentral lists this long non-coding RNA (28625 nucleotides) under Brachypodium distachyon (stiff brome). RNAcentral describes it as "long non-coding RNA (BDIS_LNC001617)". Lineage: Eukaryota; Viridiplantae; Streptophyta; Magnoliopsida; Poales; Poaceae. The record is from RNAcentral.